Molecule: ribosomal RNA, 275 nt
Filed under: uncultured bacterium
Lineage: Bacteria
Description: partial 16S ribosomal RNA
Rfam family: Bacterial small subunit ribosomal RNA
Source: RNAcentral
GCGUGAGUGAUGACGGCCCUAGGGUUGUAAAGCUCUUUCACCGGUGAAGAUAAUGACGGUACCUGGUAAAGAAGCCCCGGCUAACUUCGUGCCAGCAGCCGCGGUAAUACGAAGGGGGCUAGCGUUGUUCGGAAUUACUGGGCGUAAAGCGCACGUAGGCGGACUGUUUAGUCAGAGGUGAAAUCCCGGGGCUCAACCCCGGAACUGCCUUUGAUACUGGCAGUCUAGAGUCCGGAAGAGGUGAGUGGAAUUCCGAGUGUAGAGGUGAAAUUCGU